UUUGGGGCGGGAGAUGAGGGAGGGGGAACCAAGUUCCUUCCUACAGCGCCGUCCCGCGCAGCCGUCCCCGCCGCCGCCGCCUCACUCGCGCGCUUCAGCCGCCGCGCCGCCGCUGCCGCCGCUGCCGCCGCCGCCGCCGCCUCCGCAGAUUCAAAAACAAACCCGCUUCUCCCUUGCACGCGCCGGGGCCGUUAUGCAAAUUACUGUAGGCGGGACUCGGUGGUCGUACUAUUGGCCACGCCCACCGCGCUUUCAACCAAUAGGUUCACGGACUGGCCGGUCCCCAUGCAAAUCUUCUGGUUUUUUAUUUGAAUGAGAAAAAUUGGCCCCGCCUCCUGCCGUGGAAAAGAGAAGGAAGUCUGAGGUGGUGGCGCUGCGCCUCUCGGUUGCGGCGCGAGGUGUGCUUUCUGAGUGGAGCUUUGCUCAGCCAGUGAGUAGCACUUUGUGAGCGCCCUCUAUGAGCCUCAGGAAAGACGGAAGGAAGGAAAUAGCAAUUCCUGUGCUCCAGACCUAUACUAGGUGCCUGUCCUCAAGAAAUCUAUCCUGCAGUGGUGGAGACAGGACAGAAACAGGAAAUGUUUCCUCCUGCAUGUUCCUGUGGGAGAAGCACUGUCCCCUAUAAAAACCAAAAACUCUUCUAGCAGAGUCCAGCAGCUCAGGUCUAAUAGUUAAUGAAAUGAAUAUAGAACUGCUG
Vicugna pacos (alpaca) is the source of this 694-nucleotide non-coding RNA. The record is from RefSeq and is a predicted model, not a curated record. Lineage: Eukaryota; Metazoa; Chordata; Mammalia; Artiodactyla; Camelidae.